AGAGUUUGAUCCUGGCUCAGGAUGAACGCUAGCGGCAGGCUAAUACAUGCAAGUCGAACGGUAACAUUGGUGCUUGCACCAGAUGACGAGUGGCGCACGGGUGCGUAACGCGUAUGCAACCUACCUUUUACUAGAGUAUAGCCCAGAGAAAUUUGGAUUAAUCCUCUAUAAUAUCUUUUAAUCUCAUGAUUUUAAGAUUAAAGUUUUAACGGUAAAAGAUGGGCAUGCGUCCCAUUAGUUUGUAGGUGAGGUAACGGCUCACCUAGACUACGAUAGGUAGGGGCCCUGAGAGGGGGAUCCCCCACACUGGUACUGAGACACGGACCAGACUCCUACGGGAGGCAGCAGUAAGGAAUAUUGGACAAUGGACGAAAGUCUGAUCCAGCCAUGCCGCGUGCAGGAUGACAGCCCUACGGGUUGUAAACUGCUUUUAUACAGGAAGAAACACUCCGACGUGUCGGAGCUUGACGGUACUGUAAGAAUAAGGAUCGGCUAACUCCGUGCCAGCAGCCGCGGUAAUACGGAGGAUCCAAGCGUUAUCCGGAAUCAUUGGGUUUAAAGGGUCCGCAGGCUGUUUUUUAAGUCAGAGGUGAAAUCCUGCAGCUCAACUGUAGAACUGCCUUUGAUACUGGAAAACUUGAGUUAUUGUGAAGUGGUUAGAAUGUGUGGUGUAGCGGUGAAAUGCAUAGAUAUCACACAGAAUACCGAUUGCGAAGGCAGAUCACUAACAAUAUACUGACGCUCAUGGACGAAAGCGUGGGGAGCGAACAGGAUUAGAUACCCUGGUAGUCCACGCCGUAAACGAUGGAUACUAGCUGUUCGUCUAACAUUGGUUAGAUGAGUGGCUAAGCGAAAGUGAUAAGUAUCCCACCUGGGGAGUACGGUCGCAAGACUGAAACUUAAAGGAAUUGACGG
Molecule: ribosomal RNA, 915 nt
Filed under: uncultured marine bacterium
Lineage: Bacteria
Description: bacterial SSU rRNA
Rfam family: Bacterial small subunit ribosomal RNA
Source: RNAcentral